UACGAAGGGGGCUAGCGUUGCUCGGAAUUACUGGGCGUAAAGGGCGCGUAGGCGGCGGGGUAAGUCGGGUGUGAAAUCUCAGAGCUCAACUCUGAAACUGCACUCGAUACUGCUCUGCUUGAGGACUGGAGAGGAGACUGGAAUUCACGGUGUAGCAGUGAAAUGCGUAGAUAUCGUGAGGAAGACCAGUGGCGAAGGCGGGUCUCUGGACAGUUCCUGACGCUGAGGCGCGAAGGCCAGGGGAGCAAACGGG
RNAcentral lists this ribosomal RNA (253 nucleotides) under uncultured bacterium. Its description in RNAcentral is "partial 16S ribosomal RNA". It matches the Rfam family "Bacterial small subunit ribosomal RNA", at positions 524 to 776 of the family's 1533-position model. The record is from RNAcentral.